RNAcentral lists this transfer RNA (89 nucleotides) under Acidimicrobiia bacterium. Its description in RNAcentral is "tRNA-Leu". It matches the Rfam family "tRNA". From Rfam's summary of the family: Transfer RNA (tRNA) molecules are approximately 80 nucleotides in length. Their secondary structure includes four short double-helical elements and three loops (D, anti-codon, and T loops). The record is from RNAcentral. Lineage: Bacteria; Bacillati; Actinomycetota; Acidimicrobiia.
GCCCGGGUGACGGAAUCGGUAGACGUGGCGGACUUAAACUCCGCUGCCCCCAAAGGGGCGUGUGGGUUCGAAUCCCACCCCGGGCACCA